AUUGAACGCUGGCGGCAGGCUUAACACAUGCAAGUCGAGCGGGGUGAUGGUGCUUGCACUAUCACUUAGCGGCGGACGGGUGAGUAAUGCUUAGGAAUCUGCCUAUUAGUGGGGGACGACAUCUCGAAAGGGAUGCUAAUACCGCAUACGUCCUACGGGAGAAAGCAGGGGAUCGCUUGUGACCUUGCGCUAAUAGAUGAGCCUAAGUCGGAUUAGCUAGUUGGUGGGGUAAAGGCCUACCAAGGCGACGAUCUGUAGCGGGUCUGAGAGGAUGAUCAGCCACACUGGGACUGAGACACGGCCCAGACUCCUACGGGAGGCAGCAGUGGGGAAUAUUGGACAAUGGGGGGAACCCUGAUCCAGCCAUGCCGCGUGUGUGAAGAGGGCCUUAUGGUUGUAAAGCACUUUAAGCGAGGAGGAGGCUCUUUUGGUUAAUACCCAAGAUGAGUGGACGUUACUCGCAGAAUAAGCACCGGCUAACUCUGUGCCAGCCGCCGCAGUAA
This 503-nucleotide ribosomal RNA is filed under the name uncultured bacterium. Its description in RNAcentral is "partial 16S ribosomal RNA". It matches the Rfam family "Bacterial small subunit ribosomal RNA", at positions 30 to 523 of the family's 1533-position model. The record is from RNAcentral.